This 271-nucleotide long non-coding RNA is filed under the name Ornithorhynchus anatinus (platypus). RNAcentral describes it as "lncRNA (ENSOANG00000046735.1)". The record is from RNAcentral. Lineage: Eukaryota; Metazoa; Chordata; Mammalia; Monotremata; Ornithorhynchidae.
UCAAAGUGCUCUGUCAUACCCUUUUCUGUCUCAGUAUCUCCCUGUACAGAGGAAAUGAAACUAUAAGCUCUUUCUCAAGAAAUUACUUGAAACAAGGAGCCUACCCUUUAAGUUGUCGGGGUCUGAAGUCACCUGCAUUCCAGAUGUCUGGAGAAUGUGACUUUUCUGAUUUAUCAUGGGAGCUGGUGUUCUGGUGAAAGGUCUUAUCCAAGAGGAGCAACCAAAUGGUAAGCUAUGGAUUUUUGUUCUUUCUCACUCUAAAAUGUGAAAC